UUGGUUCAUAUUAUUUACAAAAACAAUUUUGUAAACUAUUAGUAAAAAAAACCAUUAGUAAAUUAUAAGAAAAAUAAAAACUAUAUUAGUAGAUAAUCUAAAAAAUGAUAAAAGCAAAAUAAAAAACAAACCAUCAGAUGAUCAUCAUGUGGUUUAGAAAAUUAAAAAGUAGAAACCAAAUUUGACAGAAAAUAUUGAGACUUUGUAAUCCUCGGUGAGAGAGUUUAAUCAAAUAACUUUUAUAAGAAAAAAUAAAAAGAA
RNAcentral lists this long non-coding RNA (261 nucleotides) under Lathyrus oleraceus (garden pea). RNAcentral's name for it is "Pisum sativum (pea) long non-coding RNA (PSAT_LNC034497)". Lineage: Eukaryota; Viridiplantae; Streptophyta; Magnoliopsida; Fabales; Fabaceae. The record is from RNAcentral.